AAAAAAACAAACCCUGGGUUUUUAUGUCACUAUCCAUCUUAUAUAAUUUUUUUAUAAUCAGUAUUUUCAUAGUUGUUAAAUGAUAAAACAUGAUUAAUACUUUAUGCGCGACUUAUCUUUUUAAUUUUUUUCUUAAUUUUUUUUAAAUAAGACGGACGGUCAAACAUUGGACACGGAAACCUAUG
Molecule: microRNA precursor, 185 nt
Filed under: Oryza nivara
Lineage: Eukaryota; Viridiplantae; Streptophyta; Magnoliopsida; Poales; Poaceae
Description: MIR812 microRNA precursor family
Rfam family: MIR812 microRNA precursor family
Source: Rfam by way of RNAcentral